This 330-nucleotide unclassified non-coding RNA is filed under the name uncultured fungus. RNAcentral's name for it is "partial contains 5.8S ribosomal RNA and internal transcribed spacer 2". The stretch from base 1 to 132 matches the Rfam family "5.8S ribosomal RNA", at positions 22 to 154 of the family's 154-position model. Lineage: Eukaryota; Fungi. The record is from RNAcentral.
UGGUUCUGGCAUCGAUGAAGAACGCAGCGAAAUGCGAUAAGUAAUGCGAAUUGCAGAAUCCGUGAGUCAUCGAAUCUUUGAACGCAUAUUGCGCCCUUCGGUAUUCCGGAGGGCAUGCCUGUUCGAGCGUCAUUAUCACCUCUCAAGCCUGGCUUGCUGUUGGAUUUUAGAUAUGGUUUUGAGCUAUAUCUUGCCCUAAAGAUAAUGACGGUGUCUGUGAGGACCCCUAUACACUGAGCUUUUACUAGCACGUACUAGGUGGAAGUCUAGGCCCGGUCUUACCCAAUUUUUACUAAGGUUGACCUCGGAUCAGGUAGGAAUACCCGCUGA